GCUGUUCAUUUAUCUGUUUGGUGUAUUAUCUGUUUGAUCGAAGAUAUGAUGUGAUGAUGUUCUGUGAUGAUAAGUAACCAUUUAAUGGAAUUGGGUCAAGGAAAAGAUUUUUGUAUUUCUUCUGGGGACUUGGAGAACACUUCAACUGUAGCAAAAUAGUCUGGUGCUACACAUCCACAAUCCUUCUGAGCAGUGGUGGGAUGCUGCCGGUUUAGCAACUGGUUCGGUGAUCACUCAUGCACGCGCAUGCACCAUUUUACAAAUACAAACCUUCUGUGUUACCACUUGGGAGUAACACAGCUGAGGCGCAGCAAUCCAUUCUGCUGCACCAAUCAGCUGAGAAGAUAAAGAAAUGUAAGAAGAAGCAAUGAUAAAGAACAUCAGCUAAUAAAUGAAAAGAAGGAAAAUCAAAUAUAUGUGAAACUAAGGGGAACGAUAAAUACACAAUCACAAUCUGAAUAAAGACAACCUCUUCUUCUGGAGGAAAGCUGAUGAAUA
Molecule: long non-coding RNA, 498 nt
Organism: Pantherophis guttatus
Lineage: Eukaryota; Metazoa; Chordata; Lepidosauria; Squamata; Colubridae
Source: RefSeq, a predicted model, not a curated record